This 30-nucleotide non-coding RNA is filed under the name Rattus norvegicus (Norway rat). The record is from RNAcentral. Lineage: Eukaryota; Metazoa; Chordata; Mammalia; Rodentia; Muridae.
UAAAAUAACUUUGCAUUCCAAUGUGCUCUC